RNAcentral lists this ribosomal RNA (250 nucleotides) under uncultured bacterium. Its description in RNAcentral is "partial 16S ribosomal RNA". It matches the Rfam family "Bacterial small subunit ribosomal RNA", at positions 30 to 281 of the family's 1533-position model. The record is from RNAcentral.
AUUGAACGCUGGCGGCAUGCCUUACACAUGCAAGUCGAACGCGAAAGCGGGGCAACCCGCAAGUAGAGUGGCGAACGGGUGAGUAAUGCAUCGGAACGUAUCCAGUAGCGGGGGAUAACCUCUCGAAAGAGAGGCUAAUACCGCAUACGACCUACGGGUGAAAGCAGGGGAUCGCAAGACCUUGCACUAUUGGAGCGGCCGAUGUCGGAUUAGCUAGUUGGCGGGGUAACGGCCCACCAAGGCGACGAUC